Long non-coding RNA from Helianthus annuus (common sunflower), 1544 nucleotides. RefSeq lists it as uncharacterized. The record is from RefSeq and is a predicted model, not a curated record. NCBI's taxonomy places the organism in Eukaryota, Viridiplantae, Streptophyta, Magnoliopsida, Asterales, Asteraceae. The transcript has 8 exons.
CUAUCUAUACUACUUUAUAAAGCAUAUCCAAAGGACUUCUUAAAGUCCAUAAAAAUUCCCUUAAAAUACCCUUAAAGCAUGCUGUACAACCCUCUAAAGCACAAUAUAAUUUACACUUCCAAUUAUACCCUUCACUCAAAAAAAAAAAAAAAACACACGGGAGUACACAAAUCAAUUUUAGGGUUUCUCAUUCUAAUAUCAUUUUUUCCGCCCCCAUCCCGAGCUGCUUUCUCUCUCCCAGGCGAUUUCCAGAUCUAGGGUUUCAAUGACAUCGAAUCGUUGAUUUUCUCUCUAUCCGACAGAAGAUCCACUGGGGUUGACCUCUAGGGUUUCAAUGACACGGAAUCGAUGAUUUUCUCUCUAUUCGACAUAAGAUCCACUGGGGUUGACCUCUAGGUACCGUUUUAAACCAUCUUCUCCGAGAUCGGCUGCUGCUUAUGUUAAUCCUCAUGGUCUUCUGUUCAGAUCUGGUUUUAAUACCGAGAACUAAAGGCUAGGGUUCGACUAACUGGCAGUUAACUUCUCCGAGAUCCGUUGCUGCUCGUGUUAAUCCUCAUCUUCUUCUGUUCAGAUCUGGCUUUAAUACUGGUGGCUGAACAACAAGUGAGUAGCUUGUGUUUGGAGGCUCAGGAGUUCAUGAUUGCUGGUAGAUGGUUGGAUUUGGCUUUGUUGAUGAUUACUUCUGCUGAUUUGGUGUUUUCCAAAGCGUCAAAUAAAGGAUAAGCUGCAACAAGGGGUUUGGUUUCAAUCACACCGAAUCGAUGAUUUUCUCUCUAUUCAACACAAGAUCCACUGGGGUUUUUCUCUAUUCGACAUAAAAUCCACUGGGGUUGACCUCUAGGUACCGUUAUAAACCACAUCAUGUUUGAAUUCUCUGAUCUCUGUGUUUGAGGCGGUUUCGAGGUAAUGUGGCCGAGAUACACGACGGAGAUCGUGAUUUCCGGUUGAAUUUUGUCGCUGUGUAACCGUUUUUGUUCGUUCAUUUCGUUUUCGUGUGGUUUUGGUGAAGUGAGAGAAGACGAAGGCUUCCGGCGAGAAAGUUAGGAAUGAUAUGAUUCACGUCAAAGUUUAAGCAUUAUUUAACGAAGGACCUGCCAGAUAUUGUGAUGCAGGUAUCUGUGAUGAAGAGGCUUCGACAUCCAAAUAUUGUGCUCUUCAUGGGUGCAGUAAUUUCACCUCACCACGUAUGCAUUGUUACUGAGUUCCUUUGCUGUGGAAGUUUGUUCCAUUUACUUCACCGAAGGAGAGUCGGAUUUAAUUUGAAACAUCAUGUUCGUAUGGCCUUGGAUAUAGUAAGCAACAUACCGAUGAGAAAAAGCGAGGCGGUGUUGCCGUAAAGUGAUCUUGUUUUGCUAGCAAUAGUUGGUUUGAAGGCCCGUGUUAAGGUAAGAAUGGUGACGGGUGACAAUCUUCAAACCGCCAAGGCAAUUGCGUUAGAAUGCAGUAUACUUGGGUCAGAUGCGGACGCUACCAAGCCAAACCUAAUUGAAAGGAAGUCCUUCCGUGCAAUGUCGGAUGCACAAAGACUCGAAGUAGCUGAGAGG